GAGUGAACGCGGGCGGCGUGCUUAACACAUGCAAGUCGAGCGAAUCUCAGCAGCACAUCGCUGAGGUUAGCGGCAGACGGGUGAGUAAUACUUGGGCAAUCUGCCCUUCAGAGGGAAACAACCUGCCGAAAGGCGGGCUAAUGUCCCGUAAGACCACAGGGGUGCAUACUCCAGGGGUCAAAGCUCCGCAAGGGGUGCUGAAGGAGGAGCCCGAGGCCUAUCAUGGUAGUUGGUGGGGUAACGGCCCACCAAGCCUUUGACGGGUAGCCGGCCUGAAAGGGUGACCGGCCACACUGGCACUGAGACACGGGCCAGACUCCUACGGGAGGCAGCAGUGGGGAAUUUUGGACAAUGGGGGCAACCCUGAUCCAGCGACGCCGCGUGGAGGACGAAGGUCUUCGGAUUGUAAACUCCUUUUGCGGGGGAAGAAUGCUCUGGUGAAUAGCCAGGGGUGACGGUACUCCGCGAAUAAGCCACGGCUAACUACGUGCCAGCAGCCGCGGUAAUACGUAGGUGGCAAGCGUUACUCGGAAUCACUAGGCGUAAAGCGCAGGUAGGCGGUUCGGUAAGUCUCUUGUGAAAGCUCCCGGCUUAACUGGGAGAGGCCAAGGGAAACUGCCGGGCUGGAGUGUGGCAGAGGAAGCUGGAAUUCCCGGUGUAGCGGUGAAAUGCGUAGAUAUCGGGAGGAACACCUAUGGCGAAAGCAGGCUUCUGGGCCAUCACUGACGCUGAGCUGCGAAAGCUAGGGGAGCAAACAGGAUUAGAUACCCUGGUAGUCCUAGCCCUAAACGAUGCUCAUUAGGUGUGAGAGGUAUCGACCCCUUUCGCGCCGAAGCUAACGCAUUUAAUGAGCCGCCUGGGGAGUACGGCCCGCAGGUUGAAACUC
RNAcentral lists this ribosomal RNA (886 nucleotides) under uncultured bacterium. RNAcentral describes it as "bacterial SSU rRNA". It matches the Rfam family "Bacterial small subunit ribosomal RNA", at positions 27 to 902 of the family's 1533-position model. The record is from RNAcentral.